Triticum urartu is the source of this 115-nucleotide non-coding RNA. NCBI's taxonomy places the organism in Eukaryota, Viridiplantae, Streptophyta, Magnoliopsida, Poales, Poaceae. The record is from Rfam.
UAUCUACUCCCUCCGUUCCAAAUUACUCGUCUCAGAAAUGGAUGUAUCUAGAGCUAAACUACAUCUAGAUACAUCCAUAUCUGCGACAAGUAAUUCGUAAUGGAGGGAGUACUUA